CACUCCUGCGGGAGGCAGCAGUGGGGAAUUUUGGACAAUGGGGGCAACCCUGAUCCAGCAAUGCCGCGUGAGUGAAGAAGGCCUUCGGGUUGUAAAGCUCUUUUGUCAGGGAAGAAACGGUGGUGGCGAAUAACUACUACUAAUGACGGUACCUGAAGAAUAAGCACCGGCUAACUACGUGCCAGCAGCCGCGGUAAUACGUAGGGUGCAAGCGUUAAUCGGAAUUACUGGGCGUAAAGCGUGCGCAGGCGGUUGUGUAAGUCAGAUGUGAAAUCCCCGGGCUCAACCUGGGAAUUGCAUUUGAGACUGCACGGCUAGAGUGUGUCAGAGGGGGGUAGAAUUCCACGUGUAGCAGUGAAAUGCGUAGAUAUGUGGAGGAAUACCGAUGGCGAAGGCAGCCCCCUGGGAUAACACUGACGCUCAUGCACGAAAGCGUGGGGAGCAAACAGGAUUAGAAACCCUGGUAGUCCCAUG
Molecule: ribosomal RNA, 474 nt
Filed under: uncultured organism
Description: partial 16S ribosomal RNA
Rfam family: Bacterial small subunit ribosomal RNA
Source: RNAcentral